UGAGGCCAACUUUGAUUUCUUUCAUUGU
This 28-nucleotide non-coding RNA is filed under the name Mus musculus (house mouse). The record is from RNAcentral. Lineage: Eukaryota; Metazoa; Chordata; Mammalia; Rodentia; Muridae.